CCAAUAUUCAUGGAAUGACGGUGUUAUUAUUGUUGCUUUUGCCGGUACUUUAAUUUAUUUAUUUUUUGCGUUAACUCUCCGGUUCUCUGCGAAAAGACCAUAGUAAUCUGAAAUUCGCCCGUGAUGUAGGGAUAAUUUGGUUAAAAAUUGUUUCAUUCAGUAAUUGAACUCGAACUCUCUCAAACGAUUUGUCCUUAAUGAAACUCAUUUACCACUUAAACUCAAUUGCUUAGUUUUUAUAGUUGCUUUGCCGGUGCUUUAGGGAAAUCAAAAUAUUUUCUUGAAGAGGUAUAGUAAAUAUUUUUGAGGGAAGGUAUAAUAAAUAAUUU
This 329-nucleotide long non-coding RNA is filed under the name Medicago truncatula (barrel medic). Its description in RNAcentral is "lncRNA gene41136". Lineage: Eukaryota; Viridiplantae; Streptophyta; Magnoliopsida; Fabales; Fabaceae. The record is from RNAcentral.